GGGUUUGUGGCUUGGUAGUAGAGCGCUCGCCUAGCAUGUGAGAGGCCCUGGGUUUGAUCCUCAGCACCA
Molecule: transfer RNA, 69 nt
Filed under: Ictidomys tridecemlineatus (thirteen-lined ground squirrel)
Lineage: Eukaryota; Metazoa; Chordata; Mammalia; Rodentia; Sciuridae
Description: Spermophilus tridecemlineatus (thirteen-lined ground squirrel) tRNA
Rfam family: tRNA
About the family: Transfer RNA (tRNA) molecules are approximately 80 nucleotides in length. Their secondary structure includes four short double-helical elements and three loops (D, anti-codon, and T loops).
Source: Rfam by way of RNAcentral